Molecule: ribosomal RNA, 253 nt
Filed under: uncultured bacterium
Lineage: Bacteria
Description: partial 16S ribosomal RNA
Rfam family: Bacterial small subunit ribosomal RNA
Source: RNAcentral
UACAGAGGUGGCAAGCGUUGUUCGGAAUUACUGGGCGUAAAGGGCGCGUAGGCGGUCUUGUAAGUCCCGUGUGAAAUCCCUCGGCUCAACUGAGGAACUGCACGGGAAACUGCUUGGCUUGAGUUCGGGAGAGGGAAGCGGAAUUCCGGGUGUAGCGGUGAAAUGCGUAGAUAUCCGGAGGAACACCGGUGGCGAAGGCGGCUUCCUGGACCGAUACUGACGCUGAUGCGCGAAAGCUAGGGGAGCAAACGGG